UAUUUCUAGUUAACCAUCUUAAAGCGCUGUAUAAUUUUUCGCGAGAUAUUGUGAACUCUCUUGUGAUGUUCAAAUUCUCCAAACGUUCUGUAACUACAACGAUACCCACCUGGCUGGAAGAUCUUGGAAGCAUAUUAGAUCAAUCUGACAACGGGAAGGUGCUUAAAUUUCAAUUUCUAAUUUUGACCCAAAUAAAUAAAAAACAAAUUCCG
Long non-coding RNA from Bombyx mori (domestic silkworm), 212 nucleotides. RefSeq lists it as uncharacterized. The transcript is spliced from 2 exons. The record is from RefSeq and is a predicted model, not a curated record. NCBI's taxonomy places the organism in Eukaryota, Metazoa, Arthropoda, Insecta, Lepidoptera, Bombycidae.